GUAUGAAUCCAUUGGUUUUGAUAUUGUUAACUAUGUUACUGAACUGCUUGUUUCUCUUCGAGUCGCGCUGGCUGGCUCAUUGGUUCUCUGGGUGAAGUCCCAUCCCUGGCCCGCAGUCCGCACAAUCGAUAUCAACAAGCUACCACUUCUGUAGCAAAACAGACCUACACAACACUAUCCAAAACGAACCACAAAAUCAAUAACAUCAAACAGCCGGAACUAUUAACAAAUGAACAACACUAACCGCUAACCAACAAGGAUCGGGUCCCGGUUCCAGGCCCAGCGUACCCACCCUACCUGAGACGAUCACCUGAUCUCCCUGGUCUCCCUCAUUUUGGCCACUAGAUGGCCUGCAUCAGCCCGUGUCAGCUGUCAUGCCUCCUCUCCCCAUCAAUUGAAACUUAGCCGGAAAUUCUUUUCUCUCAAAAUGACAACUCCACUCAGCAAUUUACAAUGUCAUUCAAGCGGACAUUCCUUUCUACUUCACCAGUCGCGAUUAAUUACUAUUGAUAAUGGGUAUUAAUUUAUAAAAUUUCAUUUAAAGCAUAAUAACAACAAAGAGGAGGCGUCAAAUCUUAAUUGAGCGAUUGGCUCCCCCACACAUUCAUGCCGUAUAUACGCAUGUAUAGCCAUGCUGAAAAAAAAAACCGUCUUCUGCAUCGUUGGCAGCUAACGUUUUAUCUCCCUCAAACAAAUCCAGCAUCCAAUCUCCUUCUGCGGCUCCGGCUCUAUCCACGGGAUCGUUCAUGAUUGCUUUUAGGGCUGAGCGCAAUUGAUGAAUUGAGACGCUUUCUCAAAACUUGCCGCUAAGGGCGCUCAAUAGGGAACUUAAUUCGCUCCUUGAUUUUCUUAAUAUUUCGGUUUAUUUCAUUGCCAAUGAUUUGCAAUGUUAUUUGGGUAUACCCCACACCUGAUUUGUAAAAUACAAAUGGCCGUUGGCUUUAUUUUUAUAAUUCGCGUCCGUUCCAUACGGCUCAGAUUUCAGAAUUGAAUUCCUAUUUCUUCUUCUUUCUGUUUUUGUUUGAAGUAUCGAUAUCGUCACCGAUAUCCGAUAUUUGGUACUUGGUAUCGUCAACGAUAUCGAUACUUCAAGCAUAUUGCACUGAGUACGUGCGUCAAAUUAGCGGCGGUGACUUAGCGUUGAUUUUUGGUACUUGGUAUCGGAAAAGAAAUCGGUCACUUUUAAAUGCAUUUUUUUUAAUGUUUUUAAGCACAAAACCCAAUAAAUUUAAAUGCACAAUUGCAAAAUAUUAAAUUA
Long non-coding RNA from Drosophila montana, 1258 nucleotides. RefSeq lists it as uncharacterized. Lineage: Eukaryota; Metazoa; Arthropoda; Insecta; Diptera; Drosophilidae. The transcript is spliced from 4 exons. The record is from RefSeq and is a predicted model, not a curated record.